Molecule: ribosomal RNA, 301 nt
Filed under: uncultured bacterium
Lineage: Bacteria
Description: partial 16S ribosomal RNA
Rfam family: Bacterial small subunit ribosomal RNA
Source: RNAcentral
CAGCCGCCGCGGGAAAACGGAGGGUGCAAGCGUUAAUCGGAAUUACUGGGCGUAAAGCGCACGCAGGCGGUUUGUUAAGUCAGAUGUGAAAUCCCCGGGCUCAACCUGGGAACUGCAUUUGAAACUGGCAAGCUAGAGUCUCGUAGAGGGGGGUAGAAUUCCAGGUGUAGCGGUGAAAUGCGUAGAGAUCUGGAGGAAUACCGGUGGCGAAGGCGGCCCCCUGGACGAAGACUGACGCUCAGGUGCGAAAGCGUGGGGAGCAAACAGGAUUAGAGACCCCGGUAGUCCCUGUCUCUUAUAC